RNAcentral lists this ribosomal RNA (352 nucleotides) under uncultured bacterium. Its description in RNAcentral is "bacterial SSU rRNA". It matches the Rfam family "Bacterial small subunit ribosomal RNA", at positions 43 to 379 of the family's 1533-position model. The record is from RNAcentral.
GGCCGCGGGAAUUCGAUUCAGGCCUAACACAUGCAAGUCGAACGGCAGCACGGAGCUUGCUCUGGUGGCGAGUGGCGAACGGGUGAGUAAUAUAUCGGAACGUACCCUGGAGUGGGGGAUAACGUAGCGAAAGUUACGCUAAUACCGCAUACGAUCUACGGAUGAAAGUGGGGGAUCGCAAGACCUCAUGCUCGUGGAGCGGCCGAUAUCUGAUUAGCUAGUUGGUAGGGUAAAAGCCUACCAAGGCAUCGAUCAGUAGCUGGUCUGAGAGGACGACCAGCCACACUGGAACUGAGACACGGUCCAGACUCCUACGGGAGGCAGCAGUGGGGAAUUUUGGACAAUGGGCGAA